This 281-nucleotide ribosomal RNA is filed under the name uncultured bacterium. Its description in RNAcentral is "partial 16S ribosomal RNA". It matches the Rfam family "Bacterial small subunit ribosomal RNA", at positions 70 to 354 of the family's 1533-position model. The record is from RNAcentral.
CGGUUCGCGCUUCCGCCGGCGACCGGCGCACGGGUGAGUAACACGUAUGGAACCUGCCCGCAGCAGGGGGAUAAUCGGGGGAAACCCCGUCUAAUACCGCGUAACGACCCGGAGGGGCAUCCCUUCGGGUCCAAAGGUUUACCGGCUGCGGAUGGCCAUGCGUCGCAUUAGCUUGUUGGCGGGGUAACGGCCCACCAAGGCGACGAUGCGUAGGGGUUCUGAGAGGAAGGUCCCCCACACUGGUACUGAGACACGGACCAGACUCCUACGGAAGGCAGCAG